RNAcentral lists this ribosomal RNA (484 nucleotides) under uncultured bacterium. RNAcentral's name for it is "partial 16S ribosomal RNA". It matches the Rfam family "Bacterial small subunit ribosomal RNA", at positions 30 to 507 of the family's 1533-position model. The record is from RNAcentral.
AUUGAACGCUGGCGGCAGGCCUAACACAUGCAAGUCGAGCGGAUGAAGGGAGCUUGCUCCUGGAUUCAGCGGCGGACGGGUGAGUAAUGCCUAGGAAUCUGCCUGGUAGUGGGGGAUAACGUCCGGAAACGGGCGCUAAUACCGCAUACGUCCUGAGGGAGAAAGUGGGGGAUCUUCGGACCUCUCGCUAUCAGAUGAGCCUAGGUCGGAUUAGCUAGUUGGUGGGGUAAAGGCCUACCAAGGCGACGAUCCGUAACUGGUCUGAGAGGAUGAUCAGUCACACUGGAACUGAGACAAGGUCCAGACUCCUACGGGAGGCAGCAGUGGGGAAUAUUGGACAAUGGGCGAAAGCCUGAUCCAGCCAUGCCGCGUGUGUGAAGAAGGUCUUCGGAUUGUAAAGCACUUUAAGUUGGGAGGAAGGGCAGUAAGUUAAUACCUUGCUGUUUUGACGUUACCAACAGAAUAAGCACCGGCUAACUUCGUG